RNAcentral lists this ribosomal RNA (1607 nucleotides) under Salmonella enterica. RNAcentral's name for it is "bacterial LSU rRNA". It matches the Rfam family "Bacterial large subunit ribosomal RNA", at positions 1223 to 2812 of the family's 2925-position model. Lineage: Bacteria; Pseudomonadati; Pseudomonadota; Gammaproteobacteria; Enterobacterales; Enterobacteriaceae. The record is from RNAcentral.
GUUGGGUAGGGGAGCGUUCUGUAAGCCUGCGAAGGUGGCCUGUGAGGGUUGCUGGAGGUAUCAGAAGUGCGAAUGCUGACAUAAGUAACGAUAAAGCGGGUGAAAAGCCCGCUCGCCGGAAGACCAAGGGUUCCUGUCCAACGUUAAUCGGGGCAGGGUGAGUCGACCCCUAAGGCGAGGCCGAAAGGCGUAGUCGAUGGGAAACGGGUUAAUAUUCCCGUACUUGGUGUUACUGCGAAGGGGGGACGGAGAAGGCUAUGUUGGCCGGGCGACGGUUGUCCCGGUUUAAGCGUGUAGGUGUGUGUUCCAGGUAAAUCCGGUUCACUUUAACACUGAGGCGUGACGACGAGGCACUACGGUGCUGAAGCAACAAAUGCCCUGCUUCCAGGAAAAGCCUCUAAGCAUCAGGUAACAUCAAAUCGUACCCCAAACCGACACAGGUGGUCAGGUAGAGAAUACCAAGGCGCUUGAGAGAACUCGGGUGAAGGAACUAGGCAAAAUGGUGCCGUAACUUCGGGAGAAGGCACGCUGACACGUAGGUGAAGUGAUUUACUCAUGGAGCUGAAGUCAGUCGAAGAUACCAGCUGGCUGCAACUGUUUAUUAAAAACACAGCACUGUGCAAACACGAAAGUGGACGUAUACGGUGUGACGCCUGCCCGGUGCCGGAAGGUUAAUUGAUGGGGUCAGCGCAAGCGAAGCUCCUGAUCGAAGCCCCGGUAAACGGCGGCCGUAACUAUAACGGUCCUAAGGUAGCGAAAUUCCUUGUCGGGUAAGUUCCGACCUGCACGAAUGGCGUAAUGAUGGCCAGGCUGUCUCCACCCGAGACUCAGUGAAAUUGAACUCGCUGUGAAGAUGCAGUGUACCCGCGGCAAGACGGAAAGACCCCGUGAACCUUUACUAUAGCUUGACACUGAACAUUGAGCCUUGAUGUGUAGGAUAGGUGGGAGGCUUUGAAGUGUGGACGCCAGUCUGCAUGGAGCCGACCUUGAAAUACCACCCUUUAAUGUUUGAUGUUCUAACGUGGACCCGUUACCCGGGUUGCGGACAGUGUCUGGUGGGUAGUUUGACUGGGGCGGUCUCCUCCUAAAGAGUAACGGAGGAGCACGAAGGUUGGCUAAUCCUGGUCGGACAUCAGGAGGUUAGUGCAAUGGCAUAAGCCAGCUUGACUGCGAGCGUGACGGCGCGAGCAGGUGCGAAAGCAGGUCAUAGUGAUCCGGUGGUUCUGAAUGGAAGGGCCAUCGCUCAACGGAUAAAAGGUACUCCGGGGAUAACAGGCUGAUACCGCCCAAGAGUUCAUAUCGACGGCGGUGUUUGGCACCUCGAUGUCGGCUCAUCACAUCCUGGGGCUGAAGUAGGUCCCAAGGGUAUGGCUGUUCGCCAUUUAAAGUGGUACGCGAGCUGGGUUUAGAACGUCGUGAGACAGUUCGGUCCCUAUCUGCCGUGGGCGCUGGAGAACUGAGGGGGGCUGCUCCUAGUACGAGAGGACCGGAGUGGACGCAUCACUGGUGUUCGGGUUGUCAUGCCAAUGGCACUGCCCGGUAGCUAAAUGCGGAAGAGAUAAGUGCUGAAAGCAUCUAAGCACGAAACUUGCCCCGAGAUGAGUUCU